This 216-nucleotide long non-coding RNA is filed under the name Ananas comosus (pineapple). Its description in RNAcentral is "long non-coding RNA (ACOM_LNC033341)". The record is from RNAcentral. Lineage: Eukaryota; Viridiplantae; Streptophyta; Magnoliopsida; Poales; Bromeliaceae.
CCGUUGAGAUGAGCGUGUUAAUACAUUGAGGAAUAUAUUAGAGGUAAUAUGCAUGUUGAUAAAUUAUGGAACAUGUUGGAUGGCAUAUGAAUGUUUGGUAUAUGUAUAUAGAUAUAUAGUGGAAUAUGAUAAAUGAAUAUGCAUGUUGAUAUUGUGGAGUAUGCUAGAUGAAAGUAUGCAUGAUGGAAAGUUGUAAAAUGUGCUAAAAAGUAUAUG